AGGUCCCUGGAGCAGAUGAGAGACAGCAGACGGAACUACUGAUCCAUGAGAGGAUCUUCCCUCUUAUCCCAUGACUGCAUACUUUGCCCAAGAGUCACCUGUGAGGGACCUUGUCAAAGGCUUUCUGAAAGUCCAGAUCCCUAAAAAAUGUCAAAUGGAGAUGUGGACCCCUCUGGCAAUCUUAGAUAUUCUGCAGACCUGCAUCUUGAAAAUCCCUGUUCUAGU
Molecule: non-coding RNA, 225 nt
Organism: Chelonoidis abingdonii (Abingdon island giant tortoise)
Lineage: Eukaryota; Metazoa; Chordata; Testudines; Testudinidae
Source: RefSeq, a predicted model, not a curated record